Molecule: small nuclear RNA, 104 nt
Organism: Oryctolagus cuniculus (rabbit)
Lineage: Eukaryota; Metazoa; Chordata; Mammalia; Lagomorpha; Leporidae
Source: Rfam
GGAUAUAAAACCAAACAAAACCCAUAAAACAAAAUUGGAAUACAGAGAAAAUUAGCAUGGUCCCUGGACAAGGAUGAUACGCAAAAUUGUGAAAUAUUCCAUUU